GAUGAACGCUGGCGGCGUGCCUAAUACAUGCAAGUCGAGCGAACAGACGAGGAGCUUGCUCCUCUGACGUUAGCGGCGGACGGGUGAGUAACACGUGGAUAACCUACCUAUAAGACUGGGAUAACUUCGGGAAACAGGAGCUAAUACCGGAUAAUAUAUUGAACCGCAUGGUUCAAUAGUGAAAGACGGUUUUGCUGUCACUUAUAGAUGGAUCCGCGCCGCAUUAGCUAGUUGGUAAGGUAACGGCUUACCAAGGCAACGAUGCGUAGCCGACCUGAGAGGGUGAUCGGCCACACGGGACCUGAGACACGGUCCAGACUCCUACGGGAGGCAGCAGUAGGGAAUCUUCCGCAUGGGGCGAAAGCCUGACGGAGCAACGCCGCGUGAGUGAGGAAGGUCUUCGGAUCGUAAAACUCUGUUAUUAGGGAAGAAGAAAUGUUUAAGUAACUAUGCACGUCUUGACGGUACCGAAACAGAAAGCCACGGCUAACUACGUG
RNAcentral lists this ribosomal RNA (497 nucleotides) under uncultured bacterium. Its description in RNAcentral is "partial 16S ribosomal RNA". It matches the Rfam family "Bacterial small subunit ribosomal RNA", at positions 28 to 507 of the family's 1533-position model. The record is from RNAcentral.